RNAcentral lists this ribosomal RNA (468 nucleotides) under uncultured bacterium. RNAcentral describes it as "partial 16S ribosomal RNA". It matches the Rfam family "Bacterial small subunit ribosomal RNA", at positions 28 to 507 of the family's 1533-position model. The record is from RNAcentral.
GACGAACGCUGGCGGCGUGCUUAACACAUGCAAGUCGAACGGAAAGGCCCUGCUCUUGCGGGGUGCUCGAGUGGCGAACGGGUGAGUAACACGUGAGUAACCUGCCCUUGACUGUGGGAUAACUUCAGGAAACUGGGGCUAAUACCGGAUAGGAGCUCCUGCUGCAUGGGGGGGGUUGGAAAGUUUCGGCGGUGGGGGAUGGACUCGCGGCUUAUCAGCUUGUUGGUGGGGUAGUGGCUUACCAAGUCUUUGACGGGUAGCCGGCCUGAGAGGGUGACCGGCCACAUUGCGACUGAGAUACGGCCCAGACUCCUACUGGAGGCAGCAGUGGGGAAUAUUACACAAUGGGCGCAAGCCUGAUGCAGCAGCGUCGCGUUCGGGAUGACGUCCUUCGGGUUAUGAACCGCUGUGGCCUGUGACGAAGCGUUAGUGACGGUAAUGGGUAAAGAAGCACCGGCUAACUACGUG